This 70-nucleotide transfer RNA is filed under the name Gilpinia sp. Its description in RNAcentral is "tRNA-Leu". Lineage: Eukaryota; Metazoa; Arthropoda; Insecta; Hymenoptera; Diprionidae. The record is from RNAcentral.
ACUAUUUUGGCAGAUUAAUGUAGUAAAUUUAGAAUUUAUUUAUGUAUAAAAUUUAAUUAUACAAUUAGUA